RNAcentral lists this unclassified non-coding RNA (302 nucleotides) under uncultured Lepista. RNAcentral's name for it is "sequence contains ITS2". The stretch from base 1 to 52 matches the Rfam family "5.8S ribosomal RNA", at positions 103 to 154 of the family's 154-position model. Lineage: Eukaryota; Fungi; Basidiomycota; Agaricomycetes; Agaricales; Tricholomataceae. The record is from RNAcentral.
AACGCACCUUGCGCUCCUUGGUAUUCCGAGGAGCAUGCCUGUUUGAGUGUCAUUAAAUUCUCAACCUUUUCAGCUUUUACAAGUUGUAUUGGCUUGGAUGUGGAGGUUUUGCAGGCUUCUUAAGAAGUCAGCUCCUCUUAAAUACAUUAGCGGAACCUUUGUGGACCAGCUUUGGUGUGAUAAUUAUCUACGCCAUGGUUGUAAAGCAGCUUUAUAUGGGGUUCAGCUUCUAACAGUCCAUUUACUUGGACAAUUUCUGACAUCUUGACCUCAAAUCAGGUAGGACUACCCGCUGAACUUAA